UCAAUGUGCAGAUUAAGAAUGCUUCCGGAUAGUGGCUCCACGUCGCUUUCACAAGCAACUAAACUAUUACAUUAACAAAUCUUCCCUGGAUACAAAGCACGAUAGACUUUCAAGAGAGAGUGGGGGGGGGGGGGG
This is a long non-coding RNA of Frieseomelitta varia, 135 nucleotides long. RefSeq lists it as uncharacterized. The transcript has 2 exons. The record is from RefSeq and is a predicted model, not a curated record. NCBI's taxonomy places the organism in Eukaryota, Metazoa, Arthropoda, Insecta, Hymenoptera, Apidae.